GAUCCUGGCUCAGGAUGAACGCUGGCGGCGUGCUUAACACAUGCAAGUUGUGCGGUGAUCUCAAGAAGUUUCGGACGGAAAGGGAGAGCAGCAGCGGACGGGUGAGUAAAGCACAAGGACUUGUCCCGAAGAGGGGGACAACUGUGGGAAACCACAGCUAAUACCCCAUAAGCCGAGAGGUGAAAGCAGUAAUGCGCUUUAGGAGAGACUUGUGUCCUAUCAGGUAGUUGGUGAGGUAACGGCUCACCAAGCCGAAGACGGGUAGCCGGACUGAGAGGUUGUACGGCCACAUUGGAACUGAGAGACGGUCCAGACUCCUACGGGAGGCAGCAGUGGGGAAUAUUGGGCAAUGGGGGGCCAACCCUGACCCAGCGACGCCGCGUGAGGGAAGACAGCCUUCGGGUUGUAAACCUCUGUUGCAGGGGAAGAAGAAAGUGACGGUACCCUGCGAGGAAGCUCCGGCAAACUACGUGCCAGCCGCCGC
Molecule: ribosomal RNA, 484 nt
Filed under: uncultured bacterium
Lineage: Bacteria
Description: bacterial SSU rRNA
Rfam family: Bacterial small subunit ribosomal RNA
Source: RNAcentral